ACGCAAGCGAGCGAGUCGCGUAGCACAAAGCAAAAAGAUACAAAAAAAAUAAACUAAACGUACGCUUAGAACUCCAGAGUUUUGUUAGCCAGUGUGUGACUUAGUUCGACGCUUCAGGCCAGCGAUAGUUGUUGCUGCUGCUGUUGCUGUUGUUGGUGGCGCGUUCGAAUUUUUUUGUGUACGUCGCUUUUGGUGGUGGUUACCUGUCGUGUUGGCCACGUUUGUGUCGAUCCGAUCAGUGCACCGUCAGCGAGCGGCGCGCGCAGUUCGUCGUUCGUCCCCAGCAACAGUCACACAGUCAACAGUCAACAGUCAGCAGACAGCAGUCGAGCGGCAAUAGCGCCAGCUGCGAGCGAGCCAGAGAUAUCACACACAACACACACACACACAACAACAAGCAAAAGUGUUAGAUAAACUGAUAAUACAAUAGCAAAAUAGAAAUAGACAUGCACAGAAACGUGGCGCAAAAAACAACAACAACAACAACAAUAAGAACUCAACAAACAACAAUAAAACGAAAAAAAAAAAGAAAACUAUAUAUUAAAAAAACAACGAGAAAUGAGCAACGUCAACGGCGAAAACGGAGAACGGCAAAAGCACAGCGCACAGCGCACAGUGUCAAUAAAACUCUCGAAUUCAUUAACACAACACAAAACGUUCUAUUAGUAAGCACUUGCAAAUUUUGUGCUCCACAACGAGAAGGCGAGAGGAGUCGAGAAGAAAGCGAGGACAACACAGCGGAGCAUCGCAGCGUAGAGAAGAAGAGUCAAGCAGAGCAAAAAAUUAGCGUUGAGAGACCCUAUCGAAUUGGGAGAAGCAACAGCAACAGCAACACCAACUUGUUCAACAGCAACAGUUGAAAGGUCUAAGCUAUCAAAUAGAGGAGAGCACUGCAAACACACACACACAUACACAUGGACUCAGCGACUGGCAUAAAACACCUCAUAAACGUCAGACGCCAGACAGAAGAGACUCUCAAAAAGUUAGAGCCCAUAAUAAAAAUCAACAGCGACAACAACAACAACUACAACAGCAGCAUCAGCAGCAACAGCAGCCGCAACAUGAGCAGCAACAAAAGUAACAACAACAGCAGCAACAAAAGCAACUGCUGACCGUUGUGUCCUUGGCCUCCAAAAGGGCAGCGCAACAACGCAACAUCAAUGGGGGCAAAAAUAGAGGCUGGCGGCAUUUGACAUUUCCCCGGAGUCCUUUUUGCGGUGCAUUUGCGACAAAUGGAGCGAAGUUUUGUGGCAGUGUUCUCUUGCAGACAACUUGAACAUGUCAAUCACGAUGUGAAUGUGGACUUGCGAAAUGGCCGCGAGACGCUUCCUGUUGGGUAAGCUGAUGCUGCUGUUGAUACCUGAUACAUGAGACAACUAGGCAAGUAGAAGACAGUCAAGACAGACAGACAGACAGUCAAGGGGCAGUCAGAUUGAUGUUUAGUCAAAGCAAAUGCCAAUGCCAAGAGUUUGACAAAAAACUUGACUUGAACACGCACACGCAGAGGCACAGUUGACCCUGCCUAAAGCGACCCCUCGCUGACCUUUACCGCCUGCCGCGACUAAUUUAUCAAAUAAAAGCAAAGCGAAAUUGAAUGUCGGUUCAGAGACGACGACGACAACGACGAUGCAUAAUUAAGCUAAAAGGAAAAGACACAGAGCGAAAGGAAGGCAGCGCUAUAGCGCUAUAUUAUGUUUUUUUUACCUCUUUUUUUGGGGGUCUACAAAUGCGUUUUUAAACCAUUGAGCAACGCCUCUUUCUAACAGUUUUUUUGUUAUUAGUUGUGGUUUCCAUUCGGCUGUUUGAUUUUUGUUAAUUGCCGCUUAUUAAUCUUAGGGCUAUUUCGCUGUGGCCUGUUUAAUGGUCUUGCAAACAAAAAUUCUAAUUAAUGAAAUAUUCGGGGAGAAAAAGAAAAAGCCACAUUUUGUUAAACACAAAACAAAAUUCCAAAAACGAAACUAUUCUGGCCAUUGUUUGGACGUCUUUCGACAAUUAAUCAAAAAGAACAGGCUCAGAAUCCACAAAAAGAGAAAAAAAAACUGUAGAAUCUUCCAAUAGACAAAGCCUAGGCAUUGUCUAUGAGAUUGCUCGACGAUCUUGCUCAGUGCGGCGCAUUGACAAAUUUGUUGGCAACUUGCAGCUUCAAAUUAAGUCAUCAAUCAUUUUGUGCUGUGAUAUCAAAGCAGCCGCGCUUUGAUUAAACUGAAAAUUGAAAUUGAAAUUGAGGGGCGACAUUCAUAAUCAAAUGAUAUUGAAAGUCAAGAUGGUGGUCCAAACACAGAUCUCUCUCCCAUUCGAAUUGACGUUGGUACAGUUUGAGUUGCUAACGAGUUGAGUUGAUUCGAGUAGACGUAGUUGUAUUUUCUGUGUUUGUAGAGUUGAAAGUUGCCAGGUAGAUAUCGCAUGUGAUUGAAAUGAAAUAUAAAAUUACAUUAAAUUACCGGAUGUAAUUGCGGUGGUCGUGCCAGUCGCUCAACUCAACCCAACUCGACUCAACUCGACUGAACGCAACGCAACUUAACUGAGCUCAGUCUCAGUAGCAGAGCGUCUGUCUGCUCUCUUGCUCUGGUCAAUGAAUCAUGGCCAAAACGAAGUGCGACGCAAUUGUAGUCAGGGCAGUUGGGACAACAGGGCAGCAAAAAAAAAGCACAAAAAAACAAAAGACUCUGGCAACGAACUUGAAGCACUUGGCGUGGGCGCACGCUCUCAUGACCAAAAACGAAACAAGAAAACAGGAGAAGAAGUUGAAGCAGCAGAGGGCAGUUUCUACAUGUGUGUGUGCAAACCCACGCUGCACUUUAAAAACUCGUAAAAACAAACAAACACACACACACACACACAGAAGCGCACGCUGUGGGCCUCGCAAGUCAAUGACAUUUGUCGUAUCUUAUCAGAGGCAAACGAUUUUGUCAAACGAGCAGCAGCAACGACAACAACGACAACGACGACAACUGCCGGCACAUUAAAUGCCACUUUUUCACGCCACACGACAUUUUCAAUGCGCAUUUAGUUGUCAAUUAUUUUUGAUAGCCAGUCGCAUGCCGAUAAGAACACACACAUAUAGCAUGUCUGGUUUUUGUUUCUUUAGUUGCAGUGGCAGCGGCGUAGCAUCCAAGAUUUGCAUAUUGAGCGGUUGUUUGUAUUUGCCAGCGUUUUGAGCCGCAGCGGUAUUAGCCCAUUUUGGGCAGCGACUUUCUAAGGCUAAAGCACACAACUGGUUAAAAAGGCAUAAGAUAGUUACUUGCGACUGACACAAAUCGCUGACAGUUUGCAGCUUUCGAGUUAAUUUAUGAGUGAGAUGUCGAGAGAUCUGGCCUAAAGUAUGCGGUCAACAAUCAUGGCCAAAACUAAAUUGAAGCCAUUCGUCACGAAAUCUCAAUAAACUCUUCAAUGAAAAACUAAAAAUUAAAAAUAAUAAGCCACAAUUAUUGCCAUAGAUUGACAUAUUUUCGUGAAGAUAAAUUUAAUUGCAGGCUUCCAUAUUUUUGUUAGCUUCCUUUCGAAUUUAUUUAAUGUGCAAUUGAUUUAUGGCAGUAACAACUCAUUUAAAGUUGACUGCUAGCUCAAUACGGUAUUAAUAAUAAAUUAAAAGAAUUAUAUUUACUAGAAGUAUUAGUUUUACAUUAAGUUUAAUUUGAGUGCUUCGAAUAAUAAUUUAUUGUCUGCUCAUUUUGUUUUUUGGUUUAAAUGCUUCGAAUAAUAAUUUAUUGUCUGUACAUUUUCGUAUAAUUUUUAAAUUGGUAUUCAAUUUAUAAUGUGAAAUUAUCAUCAGUUUCACUCAGCAUCGUAAUGCCGUGGAAAAUUGCAUUUGUUCACAUGCUUCGAUGUUGUACAAUCAGAGCAACUCUUUGUGACCCAUAUAAAAGAUUUCAAUUGAAAAUAUAUGUAUAUGUGUGUUUGCGUGUAACACAAAGCGUGCAACAAUUUUCGUUGAAAACAAUUUGCAGCAAGCAAACACAGGCGGAGAAACAGACUGAAAAAAAUGAAAAUAAAUAUUUUCGCAGUGCAUAUGCCACGCACGUAGCAAAAGCAACACAACUGUGCAACAGCAGACAGAGAGACAGACAGAGAGACAAUCAGACAAUCAUGCACAUAAUCAUGCCAUCAAUAUAUGGCAAUUAUCAAUGAAAUUUAUAACAAUCCACGAAAUGUAACGAAAACAUAACCGACCAAUAAAAAUUUCAUUUUCAUAAAGCAGGCAUCUCAAAAUCAGGAAUUGCGAAUGAGAAUGAGAACGAGAACGCUGGAGCAGCUGCAGCAGCAACCAAUGUGAAUGCCGCGUGCUGUGUCCAGUUCAGUUCGUCAUACUCAAAACAUGAUGUUGUAUUUCUUGUUGUUGGCUGCGUUGUUGCUUGUUGCCUGUUGCCUGCUGCCUGUGAUCUGCAUCAUAAAAACGUGCCAGAUUGAUGCGUGAUUGAAAUGCCAAUUGGCUCAAAAAAAAAAAGUCUCAAGUUGUAGAUGAAGCUGAAGUUGCCUCGUUAUUGUUGUGUUGUGUUUGAGGCACGUCGUUUGCUACAACUCAGAAUCGGACUUGGACUCGGAUUCAAACUCGGACUCUCGAGUGGUAGAAGCGCGUGUGGUUACCGUUAAGGCCUGCUUAAGAGGCGUCUUCAUACCUAAAAACACGUAUCUUCAAUCUUUUCGCUCUGUCUUCCUCUCUCAGUUUGCAUUGUCAUUGCAGACAAUUAGAACUGGCUUUGAUUCCGUACAGAAUAGAGAGCAUAGAGCAUUUGACUGCAAUUUGCUUAAAAAGGCCGCGUUGAUAAACGAUAAAACAGUUUGCUUACUGUUACCUUUUGGCCAUAUACGACAACGAUGAUGACGACGAUGUUGUUGUUACCGAUUUCCGUCGCUUACCGUUCUUAGUUGAGUUGAGUUGAGUUCUUGUCCAUGACAUGGUCAAGACCAUGACUAGUUUCUUUUCUGCUUUUUCUUUUUAUGUUCUACUCUUUGCUUGCCGGGUAACUGCACUCUGCUAAGCAGCUUGUAAUGCUGGAAAAACGAAAUGAAACAACAGAAAUGUGACAAAGAAGGAAACGUGAAAAAUGAGAGAAAACAAACUGUCAACGCACAUAAUAGCCAAAAAAAAUUCUUAAGAGCAUUUAUAAAUUAUUUCGGUUACAACAAGAUAACAACAACUAUAAGCAGCUUUAUGCUGAAAAGCUAUUCAAGACUAAUAGACUGAUAAAUCGAACUUUUUCUGAAGGUUGACUGUUAGUAAAAAGUGUUUUAAAAAGUUUUGAAUUCAAAUUUAAAAAGCGAGCAAAAUAUCUUUAUAAAAUCGUAUGUUAGAUACGAUCUGGAAAGUUUUUUGCUAAAUUAAAAAAGAAUAUAUAAAUAUCCCUAUUUGCUGUCAAUACAGAACUACUUCAUCCUUGGUAGUGCAAUAAGACUUCCAUAUUAGAACGCCUUUCUUGUUGCUCGAGGUAUUCCUAUUAAUAUUUAUGCGUUUUGCCGAUGACGCUUUGGCUGGCUGUGAUGAAUGAGUUUUGCGCUGCUGUGCUGUGCUGUGGCAGCAGCUGCAGCUGGAAUCUUGAAUCUUGGCGGAGCAACUGGCGCCAAGUGAACGGCGACAUUCGACGGGCGGCCAACAGCCAACUGCCAACUUCCAACUAUCAAGUGCCAAGUGGCAAGUUGCUGGCCUGGCCAUGUAGGGCAGGCAACGACUACUAACAAUCAAUGAAAGAGAGACAGAGAGAGAGAGAGCGAUCGACUGUAAAUGACUCUCUAAGUCCAUCUCUUUCCAGUUGCUGUCUGUCUGUCUAGCUCAGUGGCAACAAAUUGACCAUUUCAAUUAAUGAAAAACGCACUUAAACAUUAAAGAGUUGUUCGGACUGUCCGUAGCAGGGUCUUCAAGUGUUGGCGCUAAUGAUGCGAUGAGAUGCGCGUGGAUGCGAUGCGAAAUGGAGAUGGAGAUGGGGCUGCGAAUGGAGAUGAAGAUGCCGAAGUUGCCACGCUGCGAAGCUGCGAGAUGCGAGAUGUGAGAUGUGGAGACAUGUAACAGCGUAGACCGCUCACAUUUGCAUAUUUUGUUGUCGGUUUGUCUUUCUUCAGCUGCCUUUUUUUCAUUUUCGCUCUGACGCCGAUGAUUAUUGCCGGGGCCAGAGAUUAAGCGCGUAAAUUUGUCGUUAAAAAUCAUGUUCAGAUAUUGCGAGGAGAUUGAGGGGAAAACAGGCGAGGGGCGAGGAAGGGGGAACGAUGUUAACUGCGACACGCGAUUACGUUAGCGGGCUGCCUUGAGAAAUGGUCAAACAGCAGCUGUUGAGUUUUUAACUGUUUCGCGUCGUUGCUGUUGUUGUUGUUGUUUGUUGUCGUCCGAGUGGAGGUUUGAUUGCGCCGCUUUUUGAUUGAUGGCUGUCGCCUCACGACGCAUGCUCGGCAUGUCUAUGAUGCGAAGACGGUCAGACUGACUGACUGACUAUCUGACGAACUUGCCUAGCUGCCUAUAACUGCCUAACUGACUGACUUCCAGACUGACUGCCUGACUGCCUGACUGACGUACUGAUUUACCGUUGCCUGAUAAGCAGCACACAACACACAAAAAAGUGGCAAUUACAUGAAAUGGAGCAGCCGAAAUUCGGCAUUCGACAUUUCGCCAUUUCGCUAUUUUGGGCAUUUGCAUAAAUUGGCCGCAACGAAGCGAAACAUAGCGAAGCGAAACGAAAGACUUAGGCAACAAACUCGAUUACAAUUUGCCAUCUCGCAUCUCGCUUUCUUCGUGACUAAUUUACGGCGACGUUUUCCCAGCCCCAGAGCACAACAGCCAACCAAAGUCAGAGACCAGAGGUCAUUUGUAAUUCACCAACCAAGCAAUGAACCAACGAAAAAACCAAAAAAAUAGCAGUCAAAGCAAUUUUCGAUGUUACAAUUUUUUGCUAGGCAACAGCUCAAUUUCGUUGUGCCCCCAAUUUCGUGGCAGCGAUCGCCUUGGCUCAGUGAAGCGCAAUCGCGCAUUGAAAUACAUUAAACUGCGCUGCUUAAUUAGCUAAGCUAACAUGA
This is a long non-coding RNA of Drosophila nasuta, 6999 nucleotides long. RefSeq lists it as uncharacterized. Lineage: Eukaryota; Metazoa; Arthropoda; Insecta; Diptera; Drosophilidae. The transcript is spliced from 3 exons. The record is from RefSeq and is a predicted model, not a curated record.